This 377-nucleotide ribosomal RNA is filed under the name Thraustochytriidae sp. RNAcentral's name for it is "Thraustochytriaceae sp. partial small subunit ribosomal RNA". It matches the Rfam family "Eukaryotic small subunit ribosomal RNA", at positions 582 to 975 of the family's 1831-position model. The record is from RNAcentral. Lineage: Eukaryota; Bigyra; Thraustochytrida; Thraustochytriidae.
AUUCCAGCUCCAAUAGCGAAUACUAAUUCUGCUGCAGUUAAAAAGCUCGUAGUUGAACUUGUGGCAGGACAGAUCCGGCCGUUGGGCGAAUGCCCUUUGAUGCUGUGUGUCUCGUCUGGCCAUCCUCGGCAAUUCUUUUAAAAAGGUUGUCGUCUUUCACUGUAAAAAAAUUAGGGUGUUUCAAGCAAAGUUUAUGUUGGAAUAUAUUAGUAUGGGAUGAUAAGAUAGGCUCUGGAUGCUAUUUUGUUGGUUUGCACAUUUAGAGAAUGAUUAACAGGGACAGUUGGGGGUAUUCAUAUUUACAUGUCAGAGGUGAAAUUCUUGGAUUUUGGAAAGAUGAACUACUGCGAAGGCAUUUACCAAGGAUGUUUUCAUUG